Molecule: RNA transcript, 2804 nt
Organism: Papaver somniferum (opium poppy)
Lineage: Eukaryota; Viridiplantae; Streptophyta; Magnoliopsida; Ranunculales; Papaveraceae
Gene name: protein MAIN-LIKE 2-like
Exons: 2
Source: RefSeq, a predicted model, not a curated record
GUUGAACUAAUUAUCUUGAUUUUUAUUGAUUGUAGUACUUGUAGUGAUUGUUACUGAUUAUGUUGAUAAUAUGUUGAUAGAUGUGUGUUUUAUUUAAUUUGAUUUAGAAUUGUUCUUGGUAUCUUAGUGUUUUAGGAUUCUAUGGAGCAUGAGAGUAAUUUUGAAUUGCAAACACCUAUAUGGUGGAAUUUUGUUGAAUUGUUUUUUGUAUUUUGAAUUGAUUGUUAUUGAUUCAUUGCUUGCUAACACGUAUUUGUGAAUUUGAAAACACCUAUUUGCGAAUUUUUGUUUUUAUUUUGGAUUUUUAGAAUUUUUGAAUUGUUCUUGGUGAAUUUUUGAAUUCUUCUAGGUAAAUUGAAUUGUCCUUUUGUAGUGAUUGGUACUGAUAUUUGUAGUGAAAGAAUUGUUAAUUACAUUUACAAUGUAAUGGUUGGUUAAUUUUCAUAAUUUUCAAUUUAGAUGACAACUUUAUACAAAUGGAGAAUGGGAGUAAUAUAUGUUGUGCUUGUUUUCAUUGUAGUCAAUGGCCAUGCCGUCAAGUGAGAUUUUGUCUAGGAAGGUGAUCAAAAUCAUAAAAUUAAUGAUUCUCCGUUGGAUGUAGAUAGGUGUUUGCAAUUUAAAACAAGUUGGUCUCACUUGAAGCACUUUUAUGACAUUGUGGUGAAAGAUAAUCCUCAUUCCUUGAAUGUGUUGCAAAGGUGUGGGUUUUCUUCGAUGUUUGAAUUUAAUUUAUGUUGUGCCGAUUUUAAAUUAACCGAAGCACUUAUGGAGAGAUGGUGGAAGAAAACCAUGUCAUUUCAUUUUCCGGAAUUCGAGUUAGGGAUCACACCUUUAGAUUUUGUAAGGCUAACCGGUAUUCCAAUAGGCGGUGGUCGAAAGUUGCCAACAAUACCUGUAGGUUUGAAGAAGAGACAUUAUAUAGGAUAUGAUAGCACAUAUCUUUCUUGCGUGAAGGAAAAUCAUGGUGCAAGAACCGCUGCGUAUGAGCAGGCGGUUAGAGAACGUCGUAAGGGUGAUAAAGUUGGUGUGUGGGAUUCUUCUGCUAGUGUCAUUCCAAUAAGUUUUCUUGUACACUACAUUAAUAGUAGGGAAAACCAAAACAACGAGGGUGUAUGGGAAGAAUUGACUAGAAUUUUUUUAUUGUGGUGCAUUGGUAGAUUUCUUUUAGGCAACACCACGACAAGAGUAAGUAAGGGAUGGUUAGAAUUGCUUCAGAAUUUUCAUAACUUGGACGAAUAUGAUUGGGGUAGCGCCGCAUUAGGAAACUUGUAUGAUUGCCUUGACAGAUGGACUACUAGCGAUCGUGACGAAAUGGGUAGGAUGUGGAAUAUUGUUGAGUAUUGGUAUUAUUUUUAUUUCCGCAAUUGCCAACCAUUUUUGAGGAUAGACGAGACUAUCAUCAAUAAUCAGUGCAUCUAUCCCGCAAUUUUAUUAUUCAGGAAGGACAAUCAUCGAGGUCAAGUGGAUAGAUUUAAGCAUUCAAUUAGUGUAGCCCGACACCAGAUUGAUAUGAGAACUGGAGAUGCCGUAAUAUGGCAACCUUGGAGAGAUGAUGAGUACAGCGGUUAUCCAGAGGUGUUGGAGGCAAGAAAUUUAUCAUACCAAAGAGUUGUGUUCUAUGGGGUAAGGGUGAGAGGUUGAGUGUGUACCUCGGUGAGAGAUUUGUGCGUCAGAUUAAGGGUGACAUAGUCAUCCCAUGUGAUCCACCCGAUUUAGAUUCUGUCCAGGCGAUCGAUGUUCAUCCCGUAGUUCAUUACUGGUUACCCUGUGAUGCCGAGAUGUACUCUGCAUGGUGAAAAUCGAAGAGUUUUGGAACAUGGUAUCCUGAAGGAUUUACACACAUACAAAAUCAUGAUGUGAUUGGUGUAGUUAAUAGCACACGUGUAUGUCGACCAUCCCGUCCACCUCCCGACAUGAUGUCUCAGUCCUAUGCGGAUUAUCCGGAGGACGAGUCGGUGAGUGAACUACCAGUAGUCGAUUGGCGUGUCCCUGUUUACAUGAAUGGUGAGCUAACAGAUUGGGUUGUGUCGAGGCCUACAUCUUAUCCCUAUAAUUUUGAUCACGUUACCGCCGGACGGGAGGAUUUGUUGAACAAGCUUUUCGAGCAACACAUGUUUAUCAAUGAAUCCAAAAGAACUAUUCAGGAGCAUACAAGAAAAUAGUGUCUUCGUGGGAGCUCUUCUUCCUAUUUAAGCCAACAAUUUGAGUGAGUCCUCUUCAGUAUGUACUGAGUCCUCUUCAGUAAGUAGAAACACAAACAAAGUUAAACUUUGUGUAAAGUUAAUCAUGCGCUUUAGUAGUGAAGAAGAUUUUGGAGUUGUGCAGGCAUGAAUUUCAGUUACAAAUCAAGGUCCACCGGGUGAAUGUGAAAAUGAACAAUCUAUUUUUUGGCGCCAUGUUUUUCAAUCAUUUGACCGCAAAUGAAAACGACAGAACAAAGACGUCUAUUAAAAAAGAUAUGCUUUGAUCACGGCCAAAAUUGAUACUUUUGUAACAUUUUUGUUUGAUGUUAACAUAGGUAAUCCUGCAUUGUCCUAUGAAGCUCGCGUAAGUAAAUAUAUCACCUUAAUAAUUAGUUAAUCCAACACAAAAAUUACGGUACUUAUUCAUUUCUAACUUUUUUUGUUUGCUGCAGAAAACCCAAGCUCGGAUCCAAUUUAGUGCAAAAACAAAGAAACCAUUUAAUUAUGAUCAAUUGUGUGAGCUCUUAAAGGACGUAGUCCCAGCAUACAGUGUAGAGUGAAUCCGUAUGUGUAAUCGACCAUUAAGAACAAUAUAAUUGAACUUUAUUGUUUUCGAGAUCA